Molecule: ribosomal RNA, 488 nt
Filed under: uncultured bacterium
Lineage: Bacteria
Description: partial 16S ribosomal RNA
Rfam family: Bacterial small subunit ribosomal RNA
Source: RNAcentral
UGAACGCUGGCGGCAGGCCUAACACAUGCAAGUCGAACGGUAACAGGAAGCAGCUUGCUGCUUCGCUGACGAGUGGCGGACGGGUGAGUAAUGUCUGGGAAGCUGCCUGAUGGAGGGGGAUAACUACUGGAAACGGUAGCUAAUACCGCAUAAUGUCGCAAGACCAAAGAGGGGGACCUUCGGGCCUCUUGCCAUCGGAUGUGCCCAGAUGGGAUUAGCUUGUUGGUGGGGUAACGGCUCACCAAGGCGACGAUCCCUAGCUGGUCUGAGAGGAUGACCAGCCACACUGGGACUGAGACACGGUCCAGACUCCUACGGGAGGCAGCAGUGGGGAAUAUUGCACAAUGGGCGCAAGCCUGAUGCAGCCAUGCCGCGUGUAUGAAGAAGGCCUUCGGGUUGUAAAGUACUUUCAGCGGGGAGGAAGGGAGUAAAGUUAAUACCUUUGCUCAUUGACGUUACCCGCAGAAGAAGCACCGGCUAACUUCGUG